AUUGAACGCUGGCGGCAUGCCUUACACAUGCAAGUCGAACGGCAGCACGGGAGCAAUCCUGGUGGCGAGUGGCGAACGGGUGAGUAAAGUAUCGGAACGUGCCCAGUCGUGGGGGAUAACGUAGCGAAAGUUACGCUAAUACCGCAUACGAUCUAUGGAUGAAAGCGGGGGAUCGCAAGACCUCGCGCGAUUGGAGCGGCCGAUAUCAGAUUAGGUAGUUGGUGGGGUAAAGGCGCACCAAGCCGAAGAUCUGUAGCUGGUCUGAGAGGACGACCAGCCACACUGGGACUGAAACACGGCCCAGACUCCUACGGGAGGCAGCAGUGGGGAAUUUUGGAAAAUGGGCGAAAGCCUGAUCCAGCCAUGCCGCGUGCAGGAUGAAGGCCUUCGGGUUGUAAACUGCUUUUGUACGGAACGAAAAGGUUUGGCCUAAUAAGCUGAGCUCAUGACGGUACCGUAAGAAUAAGCACCGGCUAACUACGUGCCAGCAGCCGCAAUAA
RNAcentral lists this ribosomal RNA (500 nucleotides) under uncultured bacterium. RNAcentral's name for it is "partial 16S ribosomal RNA". It matches the Rfam family "Bacterial small subunit ribosomal RNA", at positions 30 to 523 of the family's 1533-position model. The record is from RNAcentral.